RNAcentral lists this long non-coding RNA (1331 nucleotides) under Scleropages formosus (Asian bonytongue). Its description in RNAcentral is "lncRNA (ENSSFOG00015029600.1)". Lineage: Eukaryota; Metazoa; Chordata; Actinopteri; Osteoglossiformes; Osteoglossidae. The record is from RNAcentral.
CCCCGGGUUUACCAUGGAGCCUGGGGGUUCCGGCGACGAGGCGGUCGCCAUGCUGUGGUCCGUCCGGGAGGCCGUGGAACGGUCAACUUUGCAGAUCGGAGCGUCGGCGUGCGGCGCCACGGCGCUGGUGGACGUUCUGCGGGCCCUGGGGGUCCCGGUGACCCCGGAAACGGCCGAGCGCUGCGUCCAGACGCGGUUAAGGAGGAACGAGGCGCCGCUGCCGGACUACCUGCUGUCACGCAGCGAGGCCGGUGCCACCCACCAGCAACUGAUAGAUGGUGCCGAUUUGGCCAGCAGGGGGAAGGUCCUCGGCCGCUUUUUCCCCUUCCACCCCCGCCGCAGGGUGCAGCUCGUGUCCUGGUUGGCCGGAUGGAUCCGCUGCGGCGCCGUCCCGGUGGCCACCAUGAACAUGCAGCUGGCCGUGCCAGAGGGCGAGGAGAUGCCGGACGCCUGGCACCACCAGCUGGUGUUUGGAGUGGCGCCCGACGCCAUCUACAUGAGUAACCCCCUGGAAGUCGUGAGUGAGGCCGUGGUUCACCAGCGGCUGUGCAGUGAGUCACUGCUCCUCAUUCGCCGGGAGGACGUGCUGCAGAGGUGGACGGCGGACACAUCCGUGGACUCGCUCGCUCAGGACGUCUCUGACCCACGGUGGACCGUUCUGGACGUACAGGGUCAGGUGAGACAGGUGAUUCGUGAGGAGGAGUGUGAGGAUGAGCGAAAACCCAAGAUGAGCCACAUUGUGAUCCCAGCAGCAUACCGCUCAGGUGUGACGCUCUUUGCUCUCCGCCACUCGGACCCAGGACAGGAGCUUCUUCGAGCGCCCGAGCUGCCCCUGCUUUGAGUCCCACUGGACACACCCCUGCCCUUCAAUGGACACACCCCUGCCCUUUAUUGGACACACCUUUCACCUUCACUGGACACACCCCUGCCCUUCACUGGACACACCCUUUACUGGACACACCCCUGACCUUUGCACCCUUGAGGUGUCUCUGCCAUGUCGAUAUGAACUCGUUCGGUGCUCCAGGUCGUUUCAGGACACCAGGGACUCGUUGACGUGUGCAGCUGUGACCGUGCGGCUGAGGGACUGAAGGACCAGCGUGUUCCGCUGGACAGUAAGACGUGCGCUAACGGUGUUCCUGCUCUUAGGCAGACUCGUCUCUGCGUGUUGCAGAACUCGUGUGAGGCCAUGUGGACGACUUAAUGCGGACAGAUUCCCUCGCAGGACAGCGUGGUGCUUUGGGGAGAUGCUGAGGGUUCGAGAGAUUUCACUCCUCCGAGGUCUCCUUGUGUCUGAUUCACUGUGUGGGAAUAAACCCAAACGGAGAGUAACA